AGAUGAAAGAGAUGAUUUUCCUAGGGGAACUUGGGGCAAGGCUUUUAGGAAGUGUUGGCAUUUAGCUGGGAUAUCAGAACACAUGGGAAUCACAUGA
Molecule: long non-coding RNA, 97 nt
Filed under: Ictidomys tridecemlineatus (thirteen-lined ground squirrel)
Lineage: Eukaryota; Metazoa; Chordata; Mammalia; Rodentia; Sciuridae
Description: lncRNA (ENSSTOG00000031496.1)
Source: RNAcentral